UACAGAGGGGGCAAGCGUUGUUCGGAAUUACUGGGCGUAAAGGGCGCGUAGGCGGCCUGUUAAGUCGAACGUGAAAUCCCCGGGCUCAACCCGGGAACUGCGUCCGAUACUGGCAGGCUUGAAUCCGGGAGAGGGAUGCGGAAUUCCAGGUGUAGCGGUGAAAUGCGUAGAUAUCUGGAGGAACACCGGUGGCGAAGGCGAUCUUCUGGACGGAUACUGACGCUGAGGCGCGAAAGCUAGGGGAGCAAACGGG
RNAcentral lists this ribosomal RNA (253 nucleotides) under uncultured bacterium. RNAcentral's name for it is "partial 16S ribosomal RNA". It matches the Rfam family "Bacterial small subunit ribosomal RNA", at positions 524 to 776 of the family's 1533-position model. The record is from RNAcentral.